UCCUACGGGAGGCAGCAGUCGAGAAUCAUUCACAAUGGGGGAAACCCUGAUGGUGCGACGCCGCGUGAGGGAAGACGGUCUUCGGAUUGUAAACCUCUGUCUUUGGGGAAGAAAUCAGACGGUACCCAAAGAGGAAGCUCCGGCUAACUACGUGCCAGCAGCCGCGGUAAUACGUAGGGAGCGAGCGUUGUCCGGAAUUACUGGGUGUAAAGGGAGCGUAGGCGGGCUUGUAAGUUGAAUGUCUAAUCCACCGGCUCAACCGGUGAUCGCGUUCAAAACUGCAGGUCUUGAGUGAAGUAGAGGCA
RNAcentral lists this ribosomal RNA (305 nucleotides) under uncultured bacterium. RNAcentral describes it as "bacterial SSU rRNA". It matches the Rfam family "Bacterial small subunit ribosomal RNA", at positions 337 to 659 of the family's 1533-position model. The record is from RNAcentral.